GAUGAAGAACGUAGCGAAAUGCGAUAAGUAAUGUGAAUUGCAGAAUUCAGUGAAUCAUCGAAUCUUUGAACGCACAUUGCGCCCCCUGGUAUUCCGGGGGGCAUGCCUGUCCGAGCGUCAUUACAACCCUCAAGCUCAGCUUGGUAUUGGGCCCCGCCGACCCGGCGGGCCCUAAAGUCAGUGGCGGUGCCGUCCGGCUCCGAGCGUAGUAAUUCUUCUCGCUCUGGAGGUCCGGUCGUGUGCUCGCCAGCAACCCCCAAUUUUUUUCAGGUUGACCUCGGAUCAGGUAGGGAUACCCGCUGAACUUAAGCAUAUCAAUAAGCGGACGA
This 329-nucleotide unclassified non-coding RNA is filed under the name soil metagenome. Its description in RNAcentral is "partial contains 5.8S ribosomal RNA, internal transcribed spacer 2, and large subunit ribosomal RNA". The stretch from base 1 to 120 matches the Rfam family "5.8S ribosomal RNA", at positions 35 to 154 of the family's 154-position model. The record is from RNAcentral.